This 253-nucleotide ribosomal RNA is filed under the name uncultured cyanobacterium. Its description in RNAcentral is "partial 16S ribosomal RNA". It matches the Rfam family "Bacterial small subunit ribosomal RNA", at positions 524 to 776 of the family's 1533-position model. Lineage: Bacteria; Bacillati; Cyanobacteriota. The record is from RNAcentral.
UACGGAGGAUGCAAGCGUUAUCCGGAAUUAUUGGGCGUAAAGCGUCCGCAGGUGGCAAUUCAAGUCUGCUGUUAAAGGUUCUGGCUCAACCAGAGACAGGCAGUGGAAACUGAAUAGCUAGAGUGCGGUAGGGGCAGAGGGAAUUCCCAGUGUAGCGGUGAAAUGCGUAGAGAUUGGGAAGAACACCGGUGGCGAAAGCGCUCUGCUAGGCCGUAACUGACACUCAUGGACGAAAGCUAGGGGAGCGAAUGGG